GACGAACGCUGGCGGCGUGCUUAACACAUGCAAGUCGAACGGAAAGGCCCUGCUUUUGUGGGGUGCUCGAGUGGCGAACGGGUGAGUAACACGUGAGUAGCCUGCCCUUGACUUUGGGAUAACUUCAGGAAACUGGGGCUAAUACCGGAUAGGAGCUCCUGCUGCAUGGUGGGGGUUGGACAGUUUCGGCGGUUGGGGAUGGACUCGCGGCUUAUCAGCUUGUUGGUGGGGUAGUGGCUUACCAAGGCUUUGACGGGUAGCCGGCCUGAGAGGGUGACCGGCCACAUUGGGACUGAGAUACGGCCCAGACUCCUACGGGAGGCAGCAGUGGGGAAUAUUGCACAAUGGGCGGAAGCCUGAUGCAGCAACGCCGCGUGCGGGAUGACGGCCUUCGGGUUGUAAACCGCUUUCGCCUGUGACGAAGCGUGAGUGACGGUAAUGGGUAAAGAAGCACCGGCUAACUACGUG
This 468-nucleotide ribosomal RNA is filed under the name uncultured bacterium. Its description in RNAcentral is "partial 16S ribosomal RNA". It matches the Rfam family "Bacterial small subunit ribosomal RNA", at positions 28 to 507 of the family's 1533-position model. The record is from RNAcentral.